RNAcentral lists this ribosomal RNA (468 nucleotides) under uncultured bacterium. Its description in RNAcentral is "partial 16S ribosomal RNA". It matches the Rfam family "Bacterial small subunit ribosomal RNA", at positions 28 to 507 of the family's 1533-position model. The record is from RNAcentral.
GACGAACGCUGGCGGCGUGCUUAACACAUGCAAGUCGAACGGAAAGGCCCUGCUUUUGUGGGGUGCUCGAGUGGCGAACGGGUGAGUAACACGUGAGUAACCUGCCCUUGACUUUGGGAUAACUUCAGGAAACUGGGGCUAAUACCGGAUAGGAGCUCCUGCUGCAUGGUGGGGGUUGGAAAGUUUCGGCGGUUGGGGAUGGACUCGCGGCUUAUCAGCUUGUUGGUGGGGUAGUGGCUUACCAAGGCUUUGACGGGUAGCCGGCCUGAGAGGGUGACCGGCCACAUUGGGACUGAGAGACGGCCCAGACGCCUACGGGAGGCAGCAGGGGGGAAUAUUGCACAAUGGGCGGAAGCCUGAUGCAGAAACGCCGCGUGCGGGAUGACGGCCUUCGGGUUGUAAACCGCUUUAGCCUGUGACGAAGCGUGAGUGACGGUAAUGGGUAAAGAAGCACCGGCUAACUACGUG